CCUACGGGAGGCAGCAGUGGGGAAUUUUGGACAAUGGGCGCAAGCCUGAUCCAGCCAUGCCGCGUGCGGGAAGAAGGUCCUUCGGGUUGUAAACCGCUUUUGUCAGGGAAGAAAUCCUUUGAGCUAAUACCUCGGGGGGAUGACGGUACCUGAAGAAUAAGCACCGGCUAACUACGUGCCAGCAGCCGCGGUAAUACGUAGGGUGCAAGCGUUAAUCGGAAUUACUGGGCGUAAAGCGUGCGCAGGCGGUUAUGCAAGACAGAUGUGAAAUCCCCGGGCUCAACCUGGGAACUGCAUUUGUGACUGCAUAGCUGGAGUGCGGCAGAGGGGGAUGGAAUUCCGCGUGUAGCAGUGAAAUGCGUAGAUAUGCGGAGGAACACCGAUGGCGAAGGCAAUCCCCUGGGCCUGCACUGACGCUCAUGCACGAAAGCGUGGGGAGCAAACAGGAUUAGAUACCCUGGUAGUCCACGCCCUAAACGAUGUCAACUGGUUGUUGGGAGGGUUUCUUCUCAGUACGUAGCUAACGCGUGAAGUUGACCGCCUGGGGAGUCGGCGCAAGUUGAACGUCAAUGAAUUGACCGGNGNGAGAGNGCGAGGCGACGACGAGGGAGGNGG
This 615-nucleotide ribosomal RNA is filed under the name uncultured bacterium. Its description in RNAcentral is "bacterial SSU rRNA". It matches the Rfam family "Bacterial small subunit ribosomal RNA", at positions 338 to 947 of the family's 1533-position model. The record is from RNAcentral.